This 324-nucleotide ribosomal RNA is filed under the name uncultured bacterium. Its description in RNAcentral is "bacterial SSU rRNA". It matches the Rfam family "Bacterial small subunit ribosomal RNA", at positions 76 to 422 of the family's 1533-position model. The record is from RNAcentral.
GGAGCGAUCCACGAGUGGCGGACGGGUGAGUAACGCGUGGGAACCUGCCCUGGAGUGUGGGAUAACCGAGGGAAACUUCGGCUAAUACCGCAUACGACCUGAGGGUGAAAGAUUUAUCGCUCUAGGAGGGGCCCGCGUCGGAUUAGCUAGUUGGUGGGGUAAUGGCCUACCAAGGCAGUGAUCCGUAGCUGGUCUGAGAGGAUGAUCAGCCACACUGGGACUGAGACACGGCCCAGACUCCUACGGGAGGCAGCAGUGGGGAAUAUUGGACAAUGGGGGCAACCCUGAUCCAGCAAUGCCGCGUGAGUGAUGAAGGCCUUAGGG